Molecule: long non-coding RNA, 666 nt
Filed under: Homo sapiens (human)
Lineage: Eukaryota; Metazoa; Chordata; Mammalia; Primates; Hominidae
Description: HSALNT0353213
Source: RNAcentral
AAAGAGAGAGAAAAAAAGUUAUUUCCCCUUGUGCCAAGAAUGAGAUGAAGCCUGGAGAACAGGGUAAAGCAUUGGCUUCCGUAUCUUUCAAAUUGUCCCGAGUGAUUCUGAUCCACAGUGAAAACUGAAAACUGUUCUAAUAUUCACCUUGCCGGAAAAGUAAGACUAUGUGAAGUGAACCCUCCUUCAAAUUGGAGAAGGAAGCUUUGAGAUUUCCAGGGAAGAUGGAAGACAGAACAGCUUGAGCCAUUUGGGUGCGGUGUAGAACUGGAAAUUGUGUCAAGGUUGACUGAGCCCUGUUUCUGGUCUAAGAAAGUUAAAACUUGUAUUCAAAAUGGAUAUCAAGACAACAUAAAAUGAAAUGACUGAUUUUGAAGAUUGAGAAUUAGGAAUAUUGUACAGAUGCUGUCAUUCCUACAUGAAGGAGGCAGAAGAAUGUAGCAAGCUCAGCUCUCUAAUGCCAGGAGUGGCACUUUCAGUGACCAGAGCUCCCUGGGUCCUCUGUGUAUCCCUCCCCUGUCAACUGAUUCAACAGAGGCUGGGCUGGUCCUGGCAUUAGCACAUUUUUGAAUCUGCCUUUGGCUGUGACUUCACCCAAAGACAGAAAGGGGAAGUUUCUGGUCUACAUAGCCAACAUGUGGUCUUGAUAAUAAAUCAUUGCUUGUU